This is a long non-coding RNA of Anguilla anguilla (European eel), 453 nucleotides long. RefSeq lists it as uncharacterized. The transcript has 3 exons. Lineage: Eukaryota; Metazoa; Chordata; Actinopteri; Anguilliformes; Anguillidae. The record is from RefSeq and is a predicted model, not a curated record.
CCCUGCUCUCUCAGAGCCCCUGGGGGGUCCAGGUCUGCAGUGGUGCCAGCUCUGCGGCUGGAGGGAGAGACACCGGACACCUUGCUGUAGACAGUGCCCAGCGCCACAGGGCCUCAAACCUGUCUCACAAGCUGCAUCCUCUCUCGGUCGACGGACUAUACUACCUCCCCCCAUUGAGAUAAUGGCUGGUGCCCCAAACCAAGAAAUUCCAGUCCUCCCACAAAGAACAAGAGGAAAAGUAGCUGGAAUUCAUGGAAUGUGUGAAUACUUGUCUGCGGAUAAUUCACCUGCUCCUACUUCUCCCUCCUGUGCUGUCCCGGAGCAGACUGUAAGAUUGGAGCUGGGGGGUCCAGGUCUGCAGUGGUGCCAGCUCUGUGGCUGGAGGGAGAGACACCAGACACCUUGCUGUAGACAGUGCCCAGCGCCACAGGGUACUCCCUCCCAAAAUCUACU